Molecule: ribosomal RNA, 1400 nt
Filed under: Lactococcus lactis subsp. lactis
Lineage: Bacteria; Bacillati; Bacillota; Bacilli; Lactobacillales; Streptococcaceae
Description: bacterial SSU rRNA
Rfam family: Bacterial small subunit ribosomal RNA
Source: RNAcentral
GUUGAGCGCUGAAGGUUGGUACUUGUACCGACUGGAUGAGCAGCGAACGGGUGAGUAACGCGUGGGGAAUCUGCCUUUGAGCGGGGGACAACAUUUGGAAACGAAUGCUAAUACCGCAUAAAAACUUUAAACACAAGUUUUAAGUUUGAAAGAUGCAAUUGCAUCACUCAAAGAUGAUCCCGCGUUGUAUUAGCUAGUUGGUGAGGUAAAGGCUCACCAAGGCGAUGAUACAUAGCCGACCUGAGAGGGUGAUCGGCCACAUUGGGACUGAGACACGGCCCAAACUCCUACGGGAGGCAGCAGUAGGGAAUCUUCGGCAAUGGACGAAAGUCUGACCGAGCAACGCCGCGUGAGUGAAGAAGGUUUUCGGAUCGUAAAACUCUGUUGGUAGAGAAGAACGUUGGUGAGAGUGGAAAGCUCAUCAAGUGACGGUAACUACCCAGAAAGGGACGGCUAACUACGUGCCAGCAGCCGCGGUAAUACGUAGGUCCCGAGCGUUGUCCGGAUUUAUUGGGCGUAAAGCGAGCGCAGGUGGUUUAUUAAGUCUGGUGUAAAAGGCAGUGGCUCAACCAUUGUAUGCAUUGGAAACUGGUAGACUUGAGUGCAGGAGAGGAGAGUGGAAUUCCAUGUGUAGCGGUGAAAUGCGUAGAUAUAUGGAGGAACACCGGUGGCGAAAGCGGCUCUCUGGCCUGUAACUGACACUGAGGCUCGAAAGCGUGGGGAGCAAACAGGAUUAGAUACCCUGGUAGUCCACGCCGUAAACGAUGAGUGCUAGAUGUAGGGAGCUAUAAGUUCUCUGUAUCGCAGCUAACGCAAUAAGCACUCCGCCUGGGGAGUACGACCGCAAGGUUGAAACUCAAAGGAAUUGACGGGGGCCCGCACAAGCGGUGGAGCAUGUGGUUUAAUUCGAAGCAACGCGAAGAACCUUACCAGGUCUUGACAUACUCGUGCUAUUCCUAGAGAUAGGAAGUUCCUUCGGGACACGGGAUACAGGUGGUGCAUGGUUGUCGUCAGCUCGUGUCGUGAGAUGUUGGGGUUAAGUCCCGCAACGAGCGCAACCCCUAUUGUUAGUUGCCAUCAUUAAGUUGGGCACUCUAACGAGACUGCCGGUGAUAAACCGGAGGAAGGUGGGGAUGACGUCAAAUCAUCAUGCCCCUUAUGACCUGGGCUACACACGUGCUACAAUGGAUGGUACAACGAGUCGCGAGACAGUGAUGUUUAGCUAAUCUCUUAAAACCAUUCUCAGUUCGGAUUGUAGGCUGCAACUCGCCUACAUGAAGUCGGAAUCGCUAGUAAUCGCGGAUCAGCACGCCGCGGUGAAUACGUUCCCGGGCCUUGUACACACCGCCCGUCACACCACGGGAGUUGGGAGUACCCGAAGUAGGUGCCUAACCGCAAGG